This 253-nucleotide ribosomal RNA is filed under the name uncultured bacterium. RNAcentral describes it as "partial 16S ribosomal RNA". It matches the Rfam family "Bacterial small subunit ribosomal RNA", at positions 524 to 776 of the family's 1533-position model. The record is from RNAcentral.
UACGUAGGGGGCAAGCGUUGUCCGGAAUCAUUGGGCGUAAAGCGCGUGUAGGCGGCUUUGCAAGUCGGGUGUGAAAUCCCUCAGCUUAACUGAGGAAGUGCGCCCGAAACUGCCGAGCUUGAGUACCGGAGAGGGUGGCGGAAUUCCCCAAGUAGAGGUGAAAUUCGUAGAUAUGGGGAGGAACACCGGUGGCGAAGGCGGCCACCUGGACGGAUACUGACGCUGAGACGCGAAAGCGUGGGGAGCAAACAGG